This is a long non-coding RNA of Ornithorhynchus anatinus (platypus), 335 nucleotides long. RefSeq lists it as uncharacterized. Lineage: Eukaryota; Metazoa; Chordata; Mammalia; Monotremata; Ornithorhynchidae. The record is from RefSeq and is a predicted model, not a curated record. The transcript is spliced from 3 exons.
AUGCAUCCACAGCAAAUUUCACCUACGGCAAACAGAGUUCCAUCUCCCUGCAUACAUGAGUGGAUCCGCUCUCUGUGGAAUCUGCUGGUUCAUGGCUCAUACCCCCAGCUCGGAAUGCACGAUGACCUUCACAACCACUAGAGGACCGUGGGGCCUGGUAAAUAAAGCCGGCGUCUCUACAUUUGGAGCUGAGGAAUUGACAAGCUUGGACAAGUACAAGGAGGUGGCUGAUGUUAACUUUUGGGGAACUGUCAGAGUCACGAAAGGCUUUUUGCCUCACAUUCGCCGAGCUCAAGUGAGUGGAAGGCAAUCUGCUACAAGGCAAAACUCACCUG